RNAcentral lists this ribosomal RNA (466 nucleotides) under uncultured bacterium. Its description in RNAcentral is "partial 16S ribosomal RNA". It matches the Rfam family "Bacterial small subunit ribosomal RNA", at positions 28 to 507 of the family's 1533-position model. The record is from RNAcentral.
GAUGAACGCUGGCGGCGUGCUUAACACAUGCAAGUCGAACGGAAAGGCCCAAGCUUGCUUGGGUACUCGAGUGGCGAACGGGUGAGUAACACGUGGGUGAUCUGCCCUGCACUUCGGGAUAAGCCUGGGAAACUGGGUCUAAUACCGGAUAGGACCACAUUUUGGAUGGUGUGGUGGAAAGUUUUUCGGUGUGGGAUGAGCUCGCGGCCUAUCAGCUUGUUGGUGGGGUAAUGGCCUACCAAGGCGUCGACGGGUAGCCGGCCUGAGAGGGUGUACGGCCAAAUUGGGACUGAGAAACGGCCCAGACUCCUACGGGAGGCAGCAGUGGGGAAUAUUGCACAAUGGGCGCAAGCCUGAUGCAGCGACGCCGCGGGGGGGAUGACGGCCUUCGGGUUGUAAACUCCUUUCGCUAGGGACGAAGCGUUAUGUGACGGUACCUGGAGAAGAAGCACCGGCUAACUACGUG